GACGAACGCUGGCGGCGUGCCUAAUACAUGCAAGUGGGACGCAAGGGAACACACUGUGCUUGCACACCGUGUUUUCUUGAGUCGCGAACGGGUGAGUAACGCGUAGGUAACCUGCCUAUUAGCGGGGGAUAACUAUUGGAAACGAUAGCUAAUACCGCAUAAUAUUAAUUAUUGCAUGAUAAUUGAUUGAAAGAUGCAAGCGCAUCACUAGUAGAUGGACCUGCGUUGUAUUAGCUAGUUGGUAAGGUAAGAGCUUACCAAGGCGACGAUACAUAGCCGACCUGAGAGGGUGAUCGGCCACACUGGGACUGAGACACGGCCCAGACUCCUACGGGAGGCAGCAGUAGGGAAUCUUCGGCAAUGGACGAAAGUCUGACCGAGCAACGCCGCGUGAGUGAAGAAGGUUUUCGGAUCGUAAAGCUCUGUUGUAAGUCAAGAACGUGUGUGAGAGUGGAAAGUUCACACAGUGACGGUAGCUUACCAGAAAGGGACGGC
RNAcentral lists this ribosomal RNA (495 nucleotides) under Streptococcus mutans. Its description in RNAcentral is "bacterial SSU rRNA". It matches the Rfam family "Bacterial small subunit ribosomal RNA", at positions 28 to 497 of the family's 1533-position model. Lineage: Bacteria; Bacillati; Bacillota; Bacilli; Lactobacillales; Streptococcaceae. The record is from RNAcentral.